RNAcentral lists this ribosomal RNA (253 nucleotides) under uncultured bacterium. RNAcentral's name for it is "partial 16S ribosomal RNA". It matches the Rfam family "Bacterial small subunit ribosomal RNA", at positions 524 to 776 of the family's 1533-position model. The record is from RNAcentral.
UACGGAGGGUGCAAGCGUUGCUCGGAAUCACUGGGCGUAAAGAGCGUGUAGGCGGUUUCGUAUGUCUGACGUGAAAGCCCCGGGCUCACCCCGGGAAGUGCGUUGGAAACUGCGAAACUAGAGUCUCGGAGAGGAAGGUGGAAUUCCAGGUGUAGCGGUGAAAUGCGUAGAUAUCUGGAAGAACACCGGUGGCGAAGGCUGCCUUCUGGACGAUGACUGACGCUGAGACGCGAAAGCGUGGGGAGCAAACAGG